Molecule: long non-coding RNA, 1397 nt
Filed under: Equus asinus (donkey)
Lineage: Eukaryota; Metazoa; Chordata; Mammalia; Perissodactyla; Equidae
Description: lncRNA (ENSEASG00005026759.1)
Source: RNAcentral
GAGGCCUGGGCGUCCCUGCCCACUGAUGGCCCCAGAACUGCUCCUAGAAACACUCAGGGAGGCUGAGGCCAGACCCUGACCCUGUGCUCUGCCCAGCUUCUCUUCUCCUGGAGCCUUAAGCUGAGCAGUUUGUCAAAACAAAAGCGAAUGUAGCUCGGGACACACCGCAAACACAGAGAGGGGUCAGAAGGGCCGGGGACGGCACACAGUGUCCGGAGGGGGUGACUGUGGUGCGGGUAGAGCCCCAGCAGCUUCCAGGGUGCCAGACCUGUGCUAUUCCAUGACCUGGCUCCUGUGUGGCUCUGUCACUAUUAUUCUUUAAACUGUACAUUAUACAAAUACAUUUUUUUAUAUUCUUCUGCAUGUCCAACACAUUUCACUGUUUAAAAAUCAAUGGUGCUCCUUCGCCCUGGUGAUGAUCCAGAAUUCUCAGAGAAAACAGGACAGAAUUCAUGAUGCAAUGAAACACUUGGGACCCGGGGAUCAGCCUGCAAAGGAGGCCUGGCUCCCAGGGAGGAAGUCUGGACACAGGCAGCCCCAGUGAGCCCACGCGGAGCCCAGGAGACACGAGUCUCUCCCAGGAACGGGCUCCCACGGUGACGGAGGCUGAGGCCCACGUCCGUCUGCAGUCGGCCAGCUGGAGCCCCCGGAGCCGGCGGCGCAGUUCCAGCCUGAGUCCGAGUCCGAGUCUGGAGGCAGGAGACCCACGUCCCAGCUGGAAGACCGCCCGCCAGAGGGCAGACCCCCUUCCUCCGCCUUUCUGUUCUGUUGAGGCCCCGCGACCCGGCCUCCUCCUUCCAGACUUGACAUCUGAGGCUGGGUCACGAGAAGCCUUGCCCAGUGACUGUGCACUGGGGGAGCUGGCUGCCAUGGAAUAAUCCCAUGACUCUGAGACCACCAUGCUCUGAGGAAGCCCAAGCUGGCCACACCGAAAGGCCACACGCAGUGAGACAGCCAGCCAGCCCGGGCUGUUCCCGCCACCCACCUAGAGUGCCAGACAUGGGCCGAAGAAGCCGUCCUGGACCUGAAGCCCCACUGAGCCUGCUGAAGGUUCCAGCCCCAGCUGCCACCUGAUCACGACUGCAGAGAAACCCCAAGGCUGAGGGGCCCAGCGGAGCCAGGGCCAGCCAUGGACCGGGGAAAGAGUAGUAAAUGGGUGCUUUACACCAUGACAUUUUGGGGUGCUUUGUCACACAGCAAUAGAUAACCGGGACGUGGGAGUCAAUUUCAAGGCCACAGGGCCGGCACCCCCUCGGCUGUCCUCCCGGGGCCAGGGUUCAGACAGCAUGCGCAGGGCCCAGCUGCCCCUCCUCCCCUUUGUACUGCCCCUGGGGAGGCAGUGGCCGCAUCUAGAGGGGGUCCACAAGCAAGGAAGGAGUCUCGCUGCCUGGGAUGGG